RNAcentral lists this unclassified non-coding RNA (334 nucleotides) under soil metagenome. RNAcentral's name for it is "partial contains 5.8S ribosomal RNA, internal transcribed spacer 2, and large subunit ribosomal RNA". The stretch from base 1 to 120 matches the Rfam family "5.8S ribosomal RNA", at positions 35 to 154 of the family's 154-position model. The record is from RNAcentral.
GAUGAAGAACGUAGCGAAAUGCGAUAAGUAAUGCGAAUUGCAGAUUUCAGUGAGUCAUCGAAUCUUUGAACGCACAUUGCGCCCGCCAGCACUCUGGCGGGCAUGCCUGUUCGAGCGUCAUUUCAACCAUCAAGCCCCAGGCUUGCGUUGGAGCCCUGCGGCUGCCGCAGCCUCCUAAAAGCAGUGGCGGGCUCGCUAUCACACCGAGUGCAGUAGAUUACUCUUCGCUCAGGGCGUGCAGCGGGUUCCGGCCGUGAAACCCCCUACUUUUAAAGGUUGACCUCGGAUCAGGUAGGAAUACCCGCUGAACUUAAGCAUAUCAAUAAGCGGAGGA